AGUUAUCCUGCCUGAAAGACAAACCCACCCAGGAGGAUGAGCUCAGCCGGUGGCUGCGGCCCCUCUCCAGGGCUUCUCAGGAAAGGGUGAACACUUGCCCCAUGAGCACCUGGCCUGAGUCCACAAAGAGCCAGCAGAUGGUAACUACUUCUGGUGCCCACCGGCCUGUACUGGUGUCCCAAUGGCAGCCUUUCCUCACAGCCGACUCCAUGAGCCCUACUGCCCCGCUGCUCGCCCCUCCCGUUCUGUAAGGCUUUAAAUCGUGUGUGAGCAGUGGGAGCAGCCAGCCCCCCGUGGUGAACAGCAAACACCUGAGAGUCCCGGCCAUUAUCAUCACACCUC
Non-coding RNA from Caretta caretta (loggerhead turtle), 342 nucleotides. NCBI's taxonomy places the organism in Eukaryota, Metazoa, Chordata, Testudines, Cheloniidae. The record is from RefSeq and is a predicted model, not a curated record.